AUAUCAGUCAUGCAUAGCAUAUCAAUAAGCGGAGGAAAAGAAACUAACAAGGAUUCCCUUAGUAACGGCGAGUGAAGCGGGAAGAGCUCAAAUUUGAAAUCUUCAAGGUUUUACCUUGACGAAUUGUAGUUUAAAGAAGUGUUUUCUGUUGAAGUUUUGGUAAAAGUUCUUUGGAAUAGGACAUCAUAGAGGGUGAGAAUCCCGUAUUUGACCAUUACUUUCAGCUUUGUGAUACACUUUCAAAGAGUCGGAUUGUUUGGGAAUGCAGUCCAAAAUGGGUGGUAAAUUUCAUCUAAAGCUAAAUAUUGGCGAGAGACCGAUAGCGAACAAGUACCGUGAGGGAAAGAUGAAAAGAACUUUGAAAAGAGAGUUAAACAGUACGUGAAAUUGUCAAAAGGGAAGCGUUUGACACCAGUGUUGUUUUCUCGAAAAUCAAUUAAAAAGAGUUGGAUUUUGUGUUGUAUUGACUUUAUCAGCUUUCUUCACUCUUUUCCAGCUUUUUUUAAUGCACUUUUCGUUUAACAAGUCAACAUCAGUUUCUCUUGUUGUAAAAAGGUCAUUGGAAGGUGGCUUUCUCUUCGGAGAAAGUGUUUAUAGCCUUUGACUCAUGCAAUCGGAGAGACUGAGGUCUGCAGCGUAGAUCCUUCGGGGUUAGAUACAUUUGUGCUAAGUUAUAGCUUUUCAUAGACAACUUGUUGACUAUGUUUAGUCUUGUAGCUUACUCGCUUAUGCUAUUUUACCUACGCUUAGGAUGUUGAACUCUAUCACACACAG
Molecule: ribosomal RNA, 774 nt
Filed under: uncultured Neocallimastigales
Lineage: Eukaryota; Fungi; Neocallimastigomycota; Neocallimastigomycetes; Neocallimastigales
Description: partial large subunit ribosomal RNA
Rfam family: Eukaryotic large subunit ribosomal RNA
Source: RNAcentral